AUACACUCAUUAAGUAAAUAUGUUAAUAAUAUUAUUGCUCAAACAACCUUAUUUAACUGGCUAAUAACAAAUAUUAGGAACAUGGCAACCUGCAUUAUUAUUAUAUAAGUGAAUUCAAUUAUUUAGCUAGUCGUUAAAAUAAAAAUGGACAUAAACAAAUCUUGUUACAUUACAAUUGAAGAAGAUAUCGAAAUCAAGAAUAAAAAAAAAAUGUACACAAAAAUAAGAAAUUUCAAAGGUAGAUGUAUAUGGAUUGAAAAGUACAUAUACGACAAUAAUUAAAACAUCCUUAAAUGUAUGUGCAACUGCUACGGGCUUGGAAGUUUGUCUUACAGACGUACGAAAUACAUUUUCAGUUGUGACUUACCGGAAUUCGUUGAUAUUUUUGAUCUUCAAAAGUCAUAUAUAAUAUUAUUAUAAUUAAUAAUAGUAUUGUAAUUGAAAUUAGCAUUAAAUUUCUUAUUUCUGUGUA
This is a long non-coding RNA of Aphis gossypii (cotton aphid), 472 nucleotides long. RefSeq lists it as uncharacterized. The transcript is spliced from 2 exons. The record is from RefSeq and is a predicted model, not a curated record. Lineage: Eukaryota; Metazoa; Arthropoda; Insecta; Hemiptera; Aphididae.